Molecule: long non-coding RNA, 2225 nt
Organism: Oryzias latipes (Japanese medaka)
Lineage: Eukaryota; Metazoa; Chordata; Actinopteri; Beloniformes; Adrianichthyidae
Source: RefSeq, a predicted model, not a curated record
UAAACUUAGCUAUUUGUUAAAGAAAAAUAAGAGAUUAAAGAAAAGGUUUGCAUAUUUCCUUUUACCAAAGGUUUAGUGACCUCUUACCAGUAAUAGCUGAGGCAUUGAGGAAGGACACACCCAGCUACUACGUUUAUAAAGCCAUCCUCUGAUAGAGUAAAGCUUAUUUUUUACACGCUUGACUGCACUAAUGUAUGCAGAUCACCUAUAUCCACGGAGAUCAGGUGCAGCACAACUCAACAAGGAGAUAUUUGAAAUCCAGGCAACAAUGGGGCGAGCAUUGAUCUUGCUGAUCUCAACAGUGAUCAUGAUUGUGUCUUGGGGUGUCAAAGCACAGGCAGUAAAUGGUACCAACUCUACAGAUGGUGCUACCACGGCUAACAACACGUCUACUGCCAGCUUUGCAACGCCUCACCACGGUAAAAAACAAAACAAAACUACUCACCAUCAACAGGAACAGACGGUCUAUGCAACAACUCAACAUUAUCUACUAAAUGCCAAAGAUUUAUUUAAAAAUGAAAAGACUCUUUUUCUUGCAAAGGCUUUAGAAGAUAUUACUUAAUAAAUCUAGUUCCACUCAACAGUAAGACAAUCGAUUAGAGAUCUGCGAAACUUAAGACAUGCAUGAAGAUAAUGAAUGAAGCUGUGAGGAUGCAAUGAAGGCAGUUUCAAUCUUUCUCUUUCCUUCACCCUUUAGAUUCAUUUGCAAAUGUCUGAGUUUAAAACUCAAUUGUAAAGCAGCAAAAGCAGAGAAUUAAAAAAAAAUAUUUUCCAAUCAUGUCUGUCAUGGCAUGGUACAGUGGUUAGCACUCUCACCUAACUGCAAAAAGGUUUGAAUCCCGGCUGGGACCUUUCUGUGUGGAGUUUGCAUGUUCUUCCCAUACAUGCGUGGGCUUUCUCUGUGGUCUUCGAUCUCCUCCAACAGUCCUAACAAAAAGCUCUUGGUGUGGGGGGUGAGCAGGUGCUCCCCCUCAUUUGUCUCACUUUCAACAUUCCAUCAUCUAUCACAAAAUUCUUUUUUUUAAAGAAUUGUCAUUUUUGCAUACAAACAUAAAAUACAACAACAAGAUCCAGCCAAAAUUUUUUUUUUAGGGCUGAACUUUCUGAAUAAAAUUGUUUCAUUAAUUUUGUGAUUUGAUGGCUAUGAAUAAAAUUUACGUCUUUACAUUCUGCUUGCUGCAAUAGCUUGAAUGUGCAAAAAUUCAAUUUCUGUUGGAACAACUAACAAAAAGUCAAACAAUGCUAAUAUUCUAGGAUCAGAUUGUGCAGAGAUAGACAGAACUGCUGGUAGAGAUCGGUUAAUAAAAGAAAAUCCUAAACUGGUCAAUGAAAAACAAUAAUUGAAAGAAAUAACAAAAAAUAUCACUUAUGAAAACCAAUGGAAAAGCUGCAUGUUGUGCAAGUUGUGCAACUGAGAGUGUGAUUGUGUUGCCCUCAAUAGACUGGUGACCUGCUCAGUGUGUACCCUGCCUUCUGCCAACAGUAGUUGGGAUUGGCUCCAGCAACCCUGUGACCUGUCUGUGGAGUUAGAUUAGAUUAGAUUAGAUUAGAUUAGAUAAAAUUAGAUUAGAUUAGCUAGAUGACGGCCGAAAUCAUAGUUUUGUUUCUGUCUGUAUAAAAACACUCUCCACUGUUUCUUAUGCAAAGGGAAGAAUAUAUUCAAAGCAUUUCCUUGAAAAUUUGGUGAGGUAUAAACAAAUUCAGCAAACACACAGAACAAAGCAGGAACUGCAGAUCUGAUACACGGAAACUCCGAGCUACUGCUUCACAGCUUUCUCAAAUUUUAAACAAAGUGUGUAGUUUUCUGUUUUUAUUUCUUUUGUUGUUGCUUUUUUCUGUUUGAGCUCCUGUGUGCACUGCUGGAUGAGUAAAGACUGUCUCCAUACAUUUUCUUAUCUUCUGUAGACAGACAAAGGACCAUCCAGAAUAAGAUCUUUGUUUUGUUACAUGUGAGAUAUUCCUGUGCUUUGAAUAUAGACAAAGAUGUUGUACUUAUGCAAUCCUUAAAACAUUCCCUUCAUUUGCCUCUAACUUCAAGUAUCAUAGUUAGAGCUUUUUUUGCCUUGACUGUUUAUUGAAAAAAAAAAUUGAUUUAGUGAAGGUUAUGUCACCAUAUCUAUGAUUGACUCAGUAUAUUACACAUUGAUCUUAUGUAAAGAAUGCUUAUUUUCAUUCUGUAAGGAAAGUCUUGCAAACUUCAUAAUAAAAAUACAUUUUCCCUUUAA